Molecule: long non-coding RNA, 390 nt
Organism: Halichondria panicea
Lineage: Eukaryota; Metazoa; Porifera; Demospongiae; Suberitida; Halichondriidae
Exons: 3
Source: RefSeq, a predicted model, not a curated record
GGUCACCCAGACUAGCUGCUGCAUGAAGUCUGCAAUAGCUCACAGAGACUACCUGAGUGUAGAGAGAGCUCCUCCAUGCCCUCUGCAUCAAGAGAGCAACAAUCCACAGUGCAGGCAACUAGUUGGCAUCAGAGUUGCUCCAUGCUGUCAGGAACGACAGCAUGAGCCUGAGCCUGAGCCUGAUCCGGAACCUCUCCAGUCUGUAUUAUAUGUCCAACAAGAUGUAUCUCUGGACUCUACUCCGCACAACUACACCCUCAGAAGAGUUGUGACAGGCCUCACAGUGAGAGUGGAUUUCAAACAACACUGUACGCACUGACGUUGACCAGCUUUGUUUCCAUGUAGAACUCGUGCUCAUGCAUCAUCAAUCCUCAAUCUGUUAUCCGAUCU